This 253-nucleotide ribosomal RNA is filed under the name uncultured bacterium. RNAcentral's name for it is "partial 16S ribosomal RNA". It matches the Rfam family "Bacterial small subunit ribosomal RNA", at positions 524 to 776 of the family's 1533-position model. The record is from RNAcentral.
UACGGAGGGGGCUAGCGUUGUUCGGAAUUACUGGGCGUAAAGGGCGCGUAGGCGGACUGUUAAGUCGGGGGUGAAAUCCCGGAGCUCAACUCCGGAACUGCCUUCGAUACUGACAGUCUAGAGGCCGGGAGAGGUGAGUGGAAUUCCGAGUGUAGAGGUGAAAUUCGUAGAUAUUCGGAGGAACACCAGUGGCGAAGGCGGCUCACUGGCCCGUUGCUGACGCUGAGGUGCGAAAGCGUGGGGAGCAAACAGG